Molecule: transfer RNA, 75 nt
Filed under: bacterium ADurb.Bin400
Lineage: Bacteria
Also listed under: 1 other name
Description: tRNA-Asn
Rfam family: tRNA
About the family: Transfer RNA (tRNA) molecules are approximately 80 nucleotides in length. Their secondary structure includes four short double-helical elements and three loops (D, anti-codon, and T loops).
Source: RNAcentral
UCCCCGAUAGCUCAAUGGCAGAGCGCCUCGCUGUUAACGAGGAUGUUGCAAGUUCGAGUCUUGCUCGGGGAGCCA